The sequence is a transfer RNA, 74 nucleotides long. It matches the Rfam family "tRNA". From Rfam's summary of the family: Transfer RNA (tRNA) molecules are approximately 80 nucleotides in length. The record is from Rfam.
ACAGAUAUAGCCUAGUGGAUCAUGGCAGUGGAUUUUGAAUCCAACAUGGGCGGGUUCAAUUCUCGUCGUUCGUC